UACAGAGGUCCCAAGCGUUGUUCGGAUUCAUUGGGCGUAAAGCGCGUGUAGGCGGCCGGGCAAGUCGGAUGUGAAAUCCCGAGGCUCAACCUCGGAACUGCAUUCGAAACUGCUCGGCUAGAGUCCCGGAGAGGAUGGCAGAAUUCCCGGUGUAGGGGUGAAAUCCGUAGAUAUCGGGAGGAAUACCAGUGGCGAAGGCGGCCAUCUGGACGGUGACUGACGCUGAGACGCGAAAGCGUGGGGAGCAAACAGG
This 253-nucleotide ribosomal RNA is filed under the name uncultured bacterium. RNAcentral describes it as "partial 16S ribosomal RNA". It matches the Rfam family "Bacterial small subunit ribosomal RNA", at positions 524 to 776 of the family's 1533-position model. The record is from RNAcentral.